Nerophis ophidion (straightnose pipefish) is the source of this 1024-nucleotide long non-coding RNA. RefSeq lists it as uncharacterized. The transcript has 4 exons. NCBI's taxonomy places the organism in Eukaryota, Metazoa, Chordata, Actinopteri, Syngnathiformes, Syngnathidae. The record is from RefSeq and is a predicted model, not a curated record.
GGAAGUCAUACCUUUAUUGUGAAAGUGUCUUUGUUUCCGGUGAAAGUCCUCUCAUUUGCCCAAAUAUCGGACAAACAUGAAAAAGCAGAUCUUCAUUCACGCGAAAGAAAGCUUUGAAAAGAAAGUUUCCUUGCCCCCCGAGGGUUGAACUCUAGCAGCCACUACAGCGACGGGGAUGUUAGAAGGUGUGGAAGUCAGGAGAGUGGCGGGAGGGAUCGAGUGCUGAGCGGGCUGCACUUGACUCUGGAGGAAGAACAGUAAGAACUGGAAGGCCGACCUUUGGGUGUGUGGUGGCACACGGGAGUGGAGUAGCCCCCGGGUGCCGAGUGACGAUGGAGUCCGGACGAGGGCUGCAGGAAGGGGGUGGAGUGUCUUCCGGUCCCCUGGUGUGCCUUAUCAGGGUUGUGUUACGCCGGGUUGCAGUUUGCUGCAAGGUUCGUUCCCUCCGGGAUGCAGACGGACGACUCCGGACGAAAACCGUGAGGUAGGAGCUGAUUUGUUGAUCAUAAAUCGUAGCCAAACACGGAAACAAGCUUAAGGGAAAACAUGCCUAUCGGUAACCACUUUGCUCAAGAAGCAAAAACUCGGGAGUCAAGAACUACAAACCUAACUUGUCGCAUGAAGCAAACAAAGAAGCCAGGCUGACGUACCGGCAAGGGCAGGCUUAAAUAAUGCCUCUGAUUAGUGUUCGAGGGACAGCUGAGCGUCCAGAACACCAAUCAGUAAGUAACCAAUUUAAACAAACUCAAGGGUGCACAACAACGGGAACAAAGGGGAGUCCAAAACCAGCAGAAAAGAACAAAAACAUGAUCCGGGCCACAGAUCAUGACUGGUUGAUUAGUGGAAUUUCUUGCUGUACCAACGGGGUCGGAACCAUCAGUUGUGUUGUGACUGAGAAGGUGUGUCCAAAUGUUUGGCCUGUACUGUAUGUCAUUUUAUGCCAUGAGGUUCAUGUUUUUCUGACCUACCAUUAAUCUCUGAGUAAUUUCACUUUAUUAUGUCACGAUCUCACAUAACACUUAUU